This is a ribosomal RNA of Trichinella zimbabwensis, 120 nucleotides long. Lineage: Eukaryota; Metazoa; Nematoda; Enoplea; Trichinellida; Trichinellidae. The record is from Rfam.
GUCUGCGAUCACAGCACGUUGAAAGCUCUACAUCCCGCCUGAUCUGCGAAGUUAAGCAACGUUGAGCUGACGCCACAACCAGAAUCAGAAACGGUCUGAGAACAUGCGGCGUUGUAGAAA